CACCGCAAUUUAAUUCACUCUCCGCUCGGGCUCAGACUGGAACAGGGAAACAGGGAACCGAGAAUGGGGACUGGGAAUGGGAGCAGGGAUCCAUUGGGGGUACAAGGGAGCCAUGACCAUGGACUUUGGCAGCGAUGCAAAACUGCAACAUGCUCCGAUCACACACACAAACACACACACUCCUCAUUCGCUACUCACUCUUUCUACUCUCUUCGCU
Molecule: long non-coding RNA, 217 nt
Filed under: Drosophila guanche
Lineage: Eukaryota; Metazoa; Arthropoda; Insecta; Diptera; Drosophilidae
Source: RNAcentral